AAUGUCCUACGGGACGCAGCAGUGAGGAAUAUUGGUCAAUGGGCGGGAGCCUGAACCAGCCAAGUCGCGUGAGGGAAGACGGUCCUAUGGAUUGUAAACCUCUUUAGGCGGGGAGCAAUGCCGGGCACGCGUGCCCGGAGGGAGAGUACCCGCAGAAUAAGCAUCGGCUAACUCCGUGCCAGCAGCCGCGGUAAUACGGAGGAUGCGAGCGUUAUCCGGAUUUAUUGGGUUUAAAGGGUGCGUAGGCGGACUGUUAAGUCAGCGGUAAAAGCCCGGGGC
RNAcentral lists this ribosomal RNA (279 nucleotides) under uncultured bacterium. RNAcentral describes it as "partial 16S ribosomal RNA". It matches the Rfam family "Bacterial small subunit ribosomal RNA", at positions 333 to 608 of the family's 1533-position model. The record is from RNAcentral.